This 155-nucleotide ribosomal RNA is filed under the name Cuphea racemosa. Its description in RNAcentral is "5.8S ribosomal RNA". It matches the Rfam family "5.8S ribosomal RNA". From Rfam's summary of the family: 5.8S ribosomal RNA (5.8S rRNA) is a component of the large subunit of the eukaryotic ribosome. It is transcribed by RNA polymerase I as part of the 45S precursor that also contains 18S and 28S rRNA. Functionally, it is thought that 5.8S rRNA may be involved in ribosome translocation. Lineage: Eukaryota; Viridiplantae; Streptophyta; Magnoliopsida; Myrtales; Lythraceae. The record is from RNAcentral.
UUUGGCAACGGAUAUUUCGGGUCUCGGAUCGUUGAGGACCGUAGCGAAAUGCGAUACUUGGUGUGAAUUGCAGAAUCCCGUGAACCAUCGAGUCUUUGAACGCAAGUUGCGCCCGACGCCAUUCGGCUGAGGGCACGUCUGCCUGGGCGUCACGC